AAGCACUUCACUGGUUCCUCUCGGCAAACACCGAAACAUUCGCUUUUCUCCCUGCUUUCGAUCUCUUCGCUGUAGCGAUCCAGCUCAGUAGGAGCAUUCACUGCUUAGAGGAAACCAUGGAGCCUUCAUCAAAAGAGAGGAAAAUAGUUACUGUUGAAGUUCCAGAGAAAGCAUUUUUUGAUAUAUUGGUAAGAUCACCAAUAAAAUCUGUUCUUCGAAACAAGCUUGUCUCUAAAGGAGUAGCUAGUAUCAUAACAUCUACCGACUUUAUUGAGUCACAUAUGGAAAGAAGUGGUCGAUCCUAUGAACUUGUUACCUUCGCCAAUGAUUCUAAAAAAUAUGGAUAUGCAUCGGUUCUGUUGUCUGAGGAGGAUCCUGAUCGAUCAGAAUCUGUAGAUCUACUCAAUUUUGAGUUCCUCUCUACUUGCAGGGGAUUAGUGCUUUUGGUGGAUAACAGAUCAGCUGUUAAACAACAGCUUUAUGUUUCCAACCCCGCUAUCAAGAAAACAGUAGCACUGCCAAUAAUAAACGAAUCAUUCUAUAUUUUUACGGCUGGGUUAGGAUUUAAUGCUGAGGAAAAAACUUACAAAGUCCUUGUUCUUUCGACAAACAAGCGUAAUAAGAUGUAUAUAUGUAGGUUUAGACCUUCUAACAUUGAUGAGCCAAUUGAAUGGGAAGAUGUGAGCAGUCUGGCUCCAUCUAGUUAUGCAAGAAAAAAGAAUGUGUUCAUGAAAGGGGCGAUACACUGGGUUGCCUAUAAAAAGGAAGAUGAAACCCAUCAGAGAAAUAGUGUUCUGUUUUAUAAUGUAAAGACGGAGGAUUUUUCAGAAAUGAAUUUUCCUUCCAGCAUAGAAGUUACUGUCGCUUCAAAUUACUUGUUGGGUGGGGAGGAAUUUAAAGUGGAUAUUUCUACAACUGAUCAGUCCAUUCAGUUGGUGGUUGGUUCCUUUCUUCAUGACACUGGGUUCGAUAUUUGGAUUAUGAACAAAUAUGGGAAUCCAAUCUCUUGGAGCAAGAGAUCCCAUAUUUCACCUUUUACCAUACCGCGUAACACUGACUACAGAUUGAAUGAGUGCCUAUCUGAACAAACUUGGAUGGAUCGGUUGUCUAACAGACAGAUUGAUUUUGAUGAUAAAUUGGAUGAGCCCCUUGGGAUAAGAAACGGGGAAGCUGUUUGGUGGAAAACAAAAAAAGGGUUUUUGGCCUUACAUGAUGCUGCAACAAGGAACAUCAGGUAUGCCCCCAAUAUUAGGCACACUCAAGUAGAAGGGUUACAACUCUUUCCAGAUCCCAUGUUUGUUGCUAAGUACAAGGAGUCCCUUGUGUUGCUACCGGAGGUCCAUUUCCAAAUUUCUACCAACCCUCUCUCUAGACCGCUUCCUCCGCUGUUGGAUGGCCUCCCUACAGCAGCUGUGCAGAAGGAGAUUAGUGUGCUGAACCAACACAAUGAGAAACUAGUUGGUGUGUUGCAUGAUACUAGAUCUAGGGAGAUUGUUGUCUUGUGCCAUGGAUUCAAAUCCUCGAAGGUUUGAACUGUUCCAAUACUACUAUAGUUCUUGUUCUUCAUUUGCCUAUUAAGCACUUUCUUCAAAUUCUCUACUAAACUUGUUUUGUCAAGUGCCACUGGAAAAGUCAUCCAGUCCAGCGCGGCUGACAUAAGUUUUUAGAAAGUAAGUUGUCCCGGCUGUUUUAGAUCUAUGUAGUACUAGCAUGCCACCACUGUGACAUUCUGAUUUUAUCUUUACGAAUCUCUUGAGCUGCUAUGGUGUGAAUAUGAACAUCCUAAAAAAAUAAUUGAAUGAGAAGAGAAGAUGUUCAGUUAGGAUUGGCUUAUGAUCUGCACUAACCAUGUUCCUGAUUUGAAUUCAUUUCGGGCGAACAUUAUACAAAAUAAAAGUAAAGAUGAGAAGUAGUGAUAGGCAUCACUAAAGUAAAUGUAUUAACAUGAUUAAAAUAUAUUCCCUACUAAUGGUAUUGCCUAUAUAAAUCUUUUUCUUCCGCUCGCUGUAUUCCACUAAUCUGCAUUGGUACUAAGAGACUGUAGGUCUUUCAAGACACUUCCCUUCAAUUUGUUUUUAAUUCUACCUCAUCUCACUUUUAACAUCUUAACUCAUCAUGGCUUCACACAUACGGACGCAUCUGAAGGUCAACGGAAGACAUGACCAAACGACCAAGCAUACUCUCUCAUUUGAAGUUUGCUAAAUCUGCAUUUUGAUGGAGGUGUAAGAAUGAUGUCAGAUAAUUCCCUAGUAGUAGGCUACGACAACAUACCCGAUGUGAUCCCAUGAUUAGGGUUUAAAGAGGGUAAAUUGUACGCAAACCUUACCCCUACAUUGUGUGAGGUAGAGAGGUUGUUUCCAAUAGACCCUUGGAUUCCUAAGUAGUAGACUGCACCAAGGAUGUCUUGUUGAUAAGAUUUUUAGGCUGUAUUGUUUCAACAUUCUUUUCUUUUAACAAAUUUUUUGCUGAUUUUUGUUGAUUCGUGAUUGGUUAGGACCGAGGCUUUUUUGUUGUUGUUGUGGUGGUACGGUUUCUUGAUGUCAAUAUUUAGGUUCAUCUGAGGUAAACAAAUCAAGUUUGGCAAUGCCCUUGGUAAGGCACAUUGGGUUAUACCAGUAGAGCAUCAGUAUUUAGCUAGUGCUCAGCCUCGUGAAGAUUGUACAGCAUCUAGUCAUACAAAUAUAAGUACGAGCGGUAGUUUGGGAAUUACUUGUAUCAAUAUGAUGCAAGUACUUGCAAAUUUUCUUUCCACUCUUUCGAGCAAAUUGUUAUGAAGAGAUAAAACUUUAAGUUUAAGUAUCACAGCAGAUGACUGAUUCUCCAUGCUUCUUUAUUGGACUUCAACAUUUUGGUGAAUCUUGCUUCUGCUAUGGAAAAAGAAAGUAUCAGUGCAUUUCGCUUUAAUUUUCCUGGAAAUGGGUAAGCCCUUGGUAUUAAAAGCACCAUCUAUAUUGU
RNAcentral lists this unclassified non-coding RNA (2955 nucleotides) under Hevea brasiliensis (rubber tree). The record is from RNAcentral. Lineage: Eukaryota; Viridiplantae; Streptophyta; Magnoliopsida; Malpighiales; Euphorbiaceae.